UACGGGGGGGGCAAGCGUUAUUCGGAAUUAUUGGGCGUAAAGGGCGCGUAGGCGGCCAUGCGUGUCUUCCGUGAAAUCCCUCGGCUUAACUGAGGACGUGCGGAAGAAACUGCAAGGCUUGAGUCCGGGAGAGGGGGGUGGAAUUCCCAGUGUAGCGGUGAAAUGCGUAGAUAUUGGGAGGAACACUGGUGGCGAAGGCGGCCCCCUGGACCGGUACUGACGCUGAGGCGCGAAAGCGUGGGUAGCAAACGGG
Molecule: ribosomal RNA, 253 nt
Filed under: uncultured bacterium
Lineage: Bacteria
Description: partial 16S ribosomal RNA
Rfam family: Bacterial small subunit ribosomal RNA
Source: RNAcentral